Molecule: long non-coding RNA, 529 nt
Filed under: Homo sapiens (human)
Lineage: Eukaryota; Metazoa; Chordata; Mammalia; Primates; Hominidae
Description: non-protein coding lnc-ATP5ME-3:1
Source: RNAcentral
CCGGCCUGUGCACCUUCUUCAGCUGCAUCCUGGCGGUCUUCUUCCACACCCCAUACCGGCGCCUGCAGGCCGAGUCUGGGGAGCCCCCCUCCACCCGUAACGCCGUGGGCGGCGCAGACUCAGGGCCGGGUGUGGACCGAGGGGGAGCAGGAAGGGCUGGGGUCCUGGGGCCCAGCACGGCGACUCCGGAGUGCACGGCGAGGGGGGCCUCGCUAGAGGACCCCAGAGGGCCCGGGAGCCCCCACCCAGCCUGCCACCGAGCGACUCCCCGUGCGCAAGGCCCAGCAGCCACCGACGCGCCCUCCCGCCCCGGCAGACUCGCAGGCAGGGUCCAAGCGUCCAGGUUUAUUGACCCGGCUGGGUCUCACUCCUCCUUCUCCUCCCCGUGGGUGAUCACGUAGCUGAGCGCCUUGUAGUCCAGGUUGCCCGCCACAUCGAUGGAGGCGAACUGGAACAUCUGGUCCACCUGCGGGCGGGGGCGAAAGGGCUCCUUGCGGGCUCCGGGAGCGAAUUACAAGCGCGCACCUGC